GAUGAAGAACGCAGCGAAAUGCGAUAAGUGAUGUGAAUUGCAGAAUUCAGUGAAUCAUCGAAUCUUUGAACGCACAUUGCGCCCGGCAGUACUCUGCCGGGCAUGCCUGUUCGAGCGUCAUUUCAACCCUCAAGCCCUGCUUGGUGUUGGGGCCCCACGGCUGCCGUGGGCCCUGAAAGGAAGUGGCGGGCUCGCUACAACUCCGAGCGUAGUAAUUCAUUAUCUCGCUUAGGGCGUUGGGCGGCGCUCCAGCCGUUAAAGAACCAUCUUUAACUCAAGGUUGACCUCGGAUCAGGUAGGAAUACCCGCUGAACUUAAGCAUAUCAAUAAGCGGAGGA
RNAcentral lists this unclassified non-coding RNA (338 nucleotides) under soil metagenome. RNAcentral's name for it is "partial contains 5.8S ribosomal RNA, internal transcribed spacer 2, and large subunit ribosomal RNA". The stretch from base 1 to 120 matches the Rfam family "5.8S ribosomal RNA", at positions 35 to 154 of the family's 154-position model. The record is from RNAcentral.